UGCCCUAAAGUCUGGGAUACGCACUUGGAAACAGGUGCUAAUACCGGAUAACAACAAUAGCUGCAUGGCUAUUGCUUAAAAGGCGGCGAAAGCUGUCGCUAAAGGAUGGACCCGCGGUGCAUUAGCUAGUUGGUAAGGUAAUGGCUUACCAAGGCGACGAUGCAUAGCCGAGUUGAGAGACUGAUCGGCCACAUUGGGACUGAGACACGGCCCAAACUCCUACGGGAGGCAGCAGUAGGGAAUCUUCCACAAUGGGCGAAAGCCUGAUGGAGCAACGCCGCGUGAGUGAAGAAGGUUUUCGGAUCGUAAAGCUCUGUUGUUGGUGAAGAAGGAUAGAGGUAGUAACUGGCCCCUAUUUGACGGUAAUCAACCAGAAAGUCACGGCUAACUACGUGCCAGCAGCCGCGGUAAUACGUAGGUGGCAAGCGUUGUCCGGAUUUAUUGGGCGUAAAGCGAGCGCAGGCGGAAAGAUAAGUCUGAUGUGAAAGCCCCCGGCUUAACCGAGGAAUUGCAUCGGAAACUGUGUUUCUUGAGUGCAGAAGAGGAGAGUGGAACUCCAUGUGUAGCGGUGGAAUGCGUAGAUAUAUGGAAGAACACCAGUGGCGAAGGCGGCUCUCUGGUCUGUAACUGACGCUGAGGCUCGAAAGCAUGGGUAGCGAACGGGAU
This 666-nucleotide ribosomal RNA is filed under the name uncultured bacterium. RNAcentral describes it as "bacterial SSU rRNA". It matches the Rfam family "Bacterial small subunit ribosomal RNA", at positions 127 to 778 of the family's 1533-position model. The record is from RNAcentral.